This 264-nucleotide long non-coding RNA is filed under the name Gossypium barbadense (sea-island cotton). RNAcentral describes it as "long non-coding RNA (GBAR_LNC004256)". Lineage: Eukaryota; Viridiplantae; Streptophyta; Magnoliopsida; Malvales; Malvaceae. The record is from RNAcentral.
UCUGCCUUACAAGCUCUCUCAACUAAGAUAACAAACUCUUUUAUUUCUAGGACACCAACAGACAAUCGGAUAUCACCAUUAAGCCCAUCCUCAAAUCUUUUACACAUAAUAGCAUCUGUAGACACACACUCUCAAGCAUAAUUGUUGAGUCUAACAAACUCGCGCUCAUAUUCAGUCAUUGUCAUAUUACCCUGUUUCAACUCUAGAAACUCUUUUCUUUUCUGGUCAACAAACCUCUGACUAAUGUACUUUUUAUGGAAUUCC